UCCAUUGUCGUCUAGUCCGGAUAUCUGGUUUUCACCCAGACUACCCGGGUUCAAAUCCCGGCAAUGGAA
RNAcentral lists this transfer RNA (69 nucleotides) under Oryza punctata. It matches the Rfam family "tRNA". From Rfam's summary of the family: Transfer RNA (tRNA) molecules are approximately 80 nucleotides in length. Lineage: Eukaryota; Viridiplantae; Streptophyta; Magnoliopsida; Poales; Poaceae. The record is from Rfam by way of RNAcentral.